RNAcentral lists this long non-coding RNA (7190 nucleotides) under Olea europaea subsp. europaea. The record is from RNAcentral. Lineage: Eukaryota; Viridiplantae; Streptophyta; Magnoliopsida; Lamiales; Oleaceae.
AUUAUAUGUGCAGGAAUUAUAUUCUGAAUUGUUUAAUGUUAGAUCUAUAUGAUAUUUACUACUCGUGUAAAUCUGCAAAAGAGUUAUGGAAUUCAUUAGAAAAGAAAUAUGCUACAGAAGAUGCUGGAACCAAGAAAUUUGUUGUGGGAAAGUUUUUAGAUUUUAAAAUAAAUGAUGUUAAAAUUGUGGUCAAUUAAGUUGAAGAAUUGCAGAUUAUAAUUCACAAAAUUAUUGCUGAAGGAUAUAAAAUCUGUGAGGGCUUUCAAGUGUCAGGUAUAAUUGAAAAAUUGCCACCUUCUUGGAAAGAAUAUAAAAAUAGUUUGAAGCAUAAGAGAAAAGAAAUGUCCUUAGAGGAUCUGAUUAUCAAGAUUAGAAUUGAGGAGGACAAUAGAAUGGCAGAACGUACAGAAAUGCCAGAUUUUGAUACCAAGGCUAAUCUUAUUGAAGGAAGUUCAGGAAGUAAAAAACCAGUUGGAAAUUUUAUAAGGGGUCAGAAUUUUAAAAGCAGAAACAAGGGAAAAUAAUUUGUAGGAAAGAACAAUCAGUCUAAACCCCAGUUUAAGAAUAAAAUUGUUGGUGACUGUUUUGUUUGUGGUAAAUCAGGCCACCUUGCAAAGGAUUGCAAAAAUAGGAAAGGAAAAGUUGUGAAGCAGCAGGCACAUGUGGUAGAGGAUGGGAAUUUCUCUGCUAUGGUAACAAAAGUGAAUCUAAUAAGCAACAUGACAGACUGGUGGGUAGAUUCUGGAGCUACCAAGCAUAUUUGCUGCACGAGAGGUGCAUUUUCUUCAUUCACUCCCGCUAGUGAUGGAGAAUGUCUGUUCAUGGGGAAUGCUUUCUCCUCCAAAAUUGAGGGGAAAGGAACUGUGACGCUUAGAUUUACUUCUAGAAAUAUCCUUAAUUUGAAGGAUGUCCUUUAUGUACCUGAUAUUAGGAAAAAUCUAGUGUCUGGAUCUAUUUUAGUCAAAAAGGGUUUUAAGAUUGUAUUUGAAAGUGGUCAAGUUGUACUAUCUAAGGGUGGUUCCUUUGUUGGGAAAAGGUAUGCAGAUGAGAGUCUGUUUAAAUUCAAUGUCUCUGUGAUUAACAAUAAAGCAUCUAGCUCUUCCGUUUACUUGUUGGAUUCUUAUGAUUUGUGGCAUGCUAGAUUUGGACACGUUAAUAAAACUUCUAUUAAAAAAUUAAUGACUUUGGGAAACAUUUCUAAAAUCGAUAAUUGUCCAAAUUCAAAAUGUGAAACGUGUGUUGAAUCUAAAUAUUCUAGAAAACCAUUUUCUCGUGUCGAUAGGACUACUUCGGUCUUAAGUUUGAUACAUUCUGAUUUAUGUGACUUAAAAGGAUAUGUUACUCGUGGUGGAAAUAAAUAUUUCUUAACUUUCAUUGAUGAUUACUCUCGAUAUUGUUAUAUUUAUCCACUUAAGAGCAAGGAUGAAAGCUAUUCAAAAUUUAUUUCCUAUAAAACUGAAGUAGAAAAUUAGCUAGACAAAACUAUUAAAGUUUUAAGAUCUGAUAGAAGAGGAGAAUAUACAGGAGAUUUUGAUAAAUUUUGUGUUGAGAAUGGUAUUAUUCAUGAGACUACUCCACCUUAUUCUCCACAAUCUAAUGGUGUAGCUGAAAGGAAAAAUUGAACCCUUAAGGAUAUGUCAUAUCAAUGCUAAGCUCUUCUGCAUUACCUUUUAACAUGUGGAGGGAAGCACUUCUUACUGCAUGUUAUAUUCUUAACAGAAUUCCUAGUAAGAAAAAUAAUAAGUCUCCUUAUGAAAUGUGGAAGGCAGAACACCUUCAUAUAAAUAUCUUAAAGUGUGGGGGUGUUUAGCUAAAACUUCUAUUCCAGCACCUAAGAGAACUAAACUUGGUCCGAAAACUGUUGAUUGUGUUUUUAUAGGCUAUGCUUUUCAUAGUAAUGCCUAUAGAUUUUUAGUCAUUGACUCUAAAAAUAAUUUGAUUGAAAAGAACACAAUAUUUGAAACUAGAGAUGCUGAAUUUUUUGAAAAUAGAUUUUCGUUUAAAGAAAAGUCUGAAGGAUCAAGCAGUUCUUUUGGUAUUCAUCCUAGUGUUAGAGAGGAGCCAUCUGAAUUAGAAGCUGAAAUUAGGAGAAGCAAAAGACCUAGGACCACUACUUCUUUCGGUCCUGACUUUAUAACCUAUUUAGUAGAGGAUGAUCCUAGUACUUUUGGUGAAGCUAUGUUUUCACCAGAUUCUAUAUUUUGGAAAGAAGCUGUAAAUAGUGAAUAUGAUUCAAUUGUGUUUAAUAAUACUUGGGAGUUACUGAACUUACCUCAAGGAUGUAAGACAAUUGAGUGUAGAUGGUUGUUUAAGAAAAAACUUAAACCUGAUGGUUCAAUUGAUAAGUAUAAAGCAAGACUUGUAGCUAAAGGCUAUAAACAAAAAGAAGGAGUUGACUUCUUUGAUACUUAUUCACCCGUUACUAGGAUUACCUCUAUUAGGAUGUUAAUUGCAAUUGCCUCACUGUAUGAUCUUAUUAUACAUCAAAUGGAUGUCAAGACUGCAUUUUUAAAUGGAGACUUAGAAAAAGAGAUUUAUAUGGAUCAGCCUGAAGGAUUUUUUGUAGAAGGCCUUGAGGAUAAAGUGUGUAGACUUAAAAAAAUCCCUUUAUAGCCUUAAACAAGCUUCUAAGCAAUGGCAUGAAAAUUUUGAUACAGUUUUGACAUCAAGUGGUUAUGUGAUAAAUGAAGCAGAUAAAUGCAUAUAUAGCAAAUUUGAAAAUAAUUGUGGUGUGAUAAUUUGUUUAUAUGUUGAUGAUAUGCUGAUUAUGGGAAUUAGUUUAGAUGUGGUUAAUAAAACUAAAUAGUUUCUGAACAAGCACUUUGAAAUGAAAGAUUUGGGUGUUGCUGAUGUUAUUCUGGAAUCAAAAUAGUAAAAUAUUCUGAAGGAAUUAUUUUCACCCAAUCACAUUAUGUAGAAAAUGUGCUUAAGUAGUUUAAUCAAUAUAACUGUAUUCCUGCUAAAACACCUUAUGAUGCAAGCCGUCAUUUGAGAAAACAUUCAGGUCCUAGUGUUUCCGCUUUAGAGUAUGCUAAAGUAAUCGGCAGUCUCAUGUAUCUCAUGAACUGUACAAGACCUGAUAUAGCAUAUGCUGUCGGUGGACUUAGCAUGUAUACUAGUAAUCCUAACAAUGAACAUUGGGAUGCUCUCAUUCGAGUCUUGAGGUAUUUGAAAUACACUCUAGACUGGGGAAUACAUUAUACCGAAUUCCCUGCUAUACUUGAGGGAUAUUGUGAUGCUACCAAUGAAAGUAAAUCUACAAGUGGAUAUGUAUUUACAUUAGCAGGUGGUGCUGUCUCCUGAAAAUCCACUAAGCAAACCUGCAUUGCUAGAUCUACUAUGGAAUCUGAGUUCAUAGCUUUAGAUAAGGCAGGUGAUGAGGCUGAAUGGUUAAGAAAUUUUCUUAUGGAUGUUCCUUUGUGGUCUAAAUCAUUUCCAACUAUUUCAAUACAUUAUGAUAGUCAAGCACUAUCUCAAGAGUUCAAAAUUCAUCCUACAAUGGAAAGUCUAGACAUAUUUGUAGGAGGCACAAUACUGUGUGUCAGCUGUUUAAGGAUGGGAUUAUAGCUAUUGACUAUGUGAAGUCAAGUGAUAACAUUGCUGACCCAUUAACCAAAGGAUUGGCUAGAGAGCUAAUUCAAUAAAUAUCGAGGGGGAUGGAGCUAAAGCCUAUUGUUUAUUAGAUCACCUAUAAUGGAAACCCAACCUUGCAAUUGGAGAUCCCAUGGUCAAGGUUCAAUGGGACAACAAAGUUAUUGGAGUGGUCUGUGGGGGUACUACAUUGAAUUUAUUCCAAACCCCUCCCUAUGAUGCGUAGUACCAACUGUAUUGAUUAGAGGAUGAGCUAAUGCUCUUAAUGCUUACUAUAGCUGAUAUUCAGUGGGGUGUUUAAAUACAGUGCACCCUUGAUAGUAGCACCUAUUUGAGUGUGAAAGUGGGGCCGCUUCCUAUGAGAAUUGAGGCGAAUUCUCUAGAGCACUCAAAGAAAUUGGGAAAGUUCACGGCCGAAAUGAACACAACCGCGAGAACUCAAUGACUGUUCUAGAAAUCAUGUGUGUAUUCUAUUGUCUCAGUUUGCAACUAUAAUUGUAGAGCUCUACAGUUAGUAAGCUCGAUAGAAUACAAAGAUAAGGUUCAAGUCGAUAGACACCUAAGCCUGCAUGAUUUCUACCGUACUCCAGAGUAAUAUUUUCAUUUACCUUAUUUCUUUCAUGUGAGGGAUUGUUAUAUAUUUAUACCAUAAAUAUAAAAUGUGAAAGAAAUAAUCAAAUUUGAUAAAGUGUCAAAGUGAUGGGAAAUGUGGCAUCUGUGUGAGACGUUAGGGGUUCGAGUCACCCCCCACGCAGAUAUUAAAAUGCCUUGAUUGGGGCCUUGGGCUUCUUCCUUGACUAAAAUAAAUAAUUUUUUUAUUAUUAUAUAAUGGGUAAAACUAGCCAGUAUUUUUUGACUUUUUUUUGUAAUAAUCCACUAACAGUCAUUAAAAUACCCACUACUCAAUCAUUAAAAUUCUGAAUUAAUCUCUGAUCAUGGUGGAGACUGUUACUUCUAUCCUGCCUAUAUAAAUCCAUAUCUCGUUUUGGGAAAAAUACACACAAAAAGAAAAUAGAAAAAUCCUCUUGUACCAAUCCUUCAUUUUCAUAUUGUGAUUUUCUUAUACACGGUUUUUUACAUAUAUUUUGGAGUACAAUUGAGAGUUCUGGAAAAACCAUUCGUGAUUGCUGCACAAGUGGUUUACGAUCGUUGUAUCCUAGGAGUGAUUGUCCACGGAGGUCGCAGCAAUUAUCGACGGGCAAUUUCACUUUAGGAUAUCGUGCUAUCACGAGACUCGAUCAAAUGAUAAGUCUUAUAUAUUUCUGCAUUUUAUUGUUCUGAAUAUUACUGCAACUAGUUAUUAUUCCAACAUAAUCAACAAGUAAGAUGAUUGGUGAGGGUGAUGCAACAGCAAUAAAGUCUUACUUUUCUAAAAUGCAGGCAUUGUGCUCGAAGUUUUACUUUAGUAUUGAGUUGGAUGACGAUAUGCGCCUAAAGAAUAUUUUUAGGCAAACAAUCUGUGCAUACAAACAUACAAGGAGUUCAGGGACAUAACAUUUGAUAUCACCUACCUUACUAAUAAGUACGACAAGUUGUUCGCCCCUUUUGUUGGCAUGAAUGAUCAUGGACAAUUAAUGUUUCUUGGUUGUGGUUUGGUAUUGAAUGAGGACGCAGAUAAAUUUGUAUGGUGGUUUAAUACAUGGCUUCGGUGCAUGCAUUGUUAAGCUCUACACGAAAUAAUUACUGAUGAAGACAAAAUCGUGAAAAAUGCAAUUCAGAUAGUUUUUCAAAAAUGCGAAGUAUAGAUCGUGUUUGUGGCAUAUUUUGAAAAAGUUGUUAGAAAUAUUUGUAUACCACGUGGAUAAGUCUUUGAUAUUUUCGGUAUACAUAUAUUGGUGUAUGAUUGACAGUUUGUUGAAGAUUUUGAGAAUGGUUGGAGAGUGAAGAUCAAUAAAGUAUGACUUGCAUGAUAGCAAUUGUCUGUUGAGAUUGUACGAAAAUAGGGGUUGUUGGAUUCCAAUUUUCUUGAAAACAACUUUCUAGUCUUGGAUGUCAACAAUGUAAAGAAGUGAGAAUAUAAAUGUCUUUUUCGAUGGUUAUGUGCAUUUGAAGAUAUCAUGAAACAGUUUUUCAAAUAGUAUAAAUGGGCACUGCGGAACCAGGUUAGGAAGGAAUUUCAGGCUGAUUUCAAGUCUUUUCUCAAAAUACUAAAUGGAAAAGUAAUAUCAAGGCAUGUACACCAAUUAAAAGUUCAGGGAAGUACAAGGAAAGGUUUAUUGCAACCUUAUAUUUGCUUCAGACGGAUGUAUAGAACGAUGUACGAGGUGUGUAAGGACAUUUUAUGUGCCGAUCGAUGAAAGAAAAAAAUGUCUUACCUCAUCUAAAAAAGAAAAAUGUGAAGUUCUUUGUAGCUGUCACUUGUUUGAAUUCCAAGGAAUAGAAUACGGGCAUGCGAUCAUAGUUUUGAUACGUAAAGACAUGAUUGGAAUGCUAGAUUUGCAUAUACAGUGAAGACAGAGAAAAGAUGCCAGCAGAGCACACACGAGGGUCGUAAUUAACUACGAUGGGUUGGUUAGUAGUCCUAGACAAUUUAGUAUGACGACAUGAUUCAAGCAUUCGCUAAGACCUUGCAAUAAAUGAUUAAGGAUGAUAUCGUGUUAUCAUGGAUUGGAUAGAACUUCGAAAUAAAGAGCUUAAUUUCACAUAGUUAGUUGAGGUAGUAAUACCAUUUCUUUGUAUAUUGUAUAUCAAAGUCCCGAGAGCGGGAGCGUUAGGGAUCCAAACUCGUAGAAGACGAAGGGCGCUAAAGACAAAUUAGAAAAAAAAGGCCUAAUGGAGGCGAGGGCUAAGAAAUCAAAGGCAUGAUCUUAUGUCAUACUCUUUUAUUCACUUUAUUUUAUACACUAAGUCAUAUUUUCUAUGGAGUACAUACAUGUAUGAUCGAAUCAAACCAAAGGAAAGAGACCGACAAUGAGGCAUAGUAGUAUGGAAGACGGAGCACCCGAGGUUUCACUACCUCCUCAACAACAAUAUUCCAUGCCAAUGCCGUUCUCAUAUUAGCAACUCCUAUUGGUUAGUAUAUUUAUUAUACCAUUUCGUUAGCACUUUAUUUUGUAUUAAUGCGAAUAAAUUGAUGUAGGACAGAAUGAGUGUGUGUUUACACAAUAAGUGUCGUUUUCUGCUUUGAUCCCUCCUACGACCACAAAUGUUAUUUUCAAUUCACAAGGUACAUAAAUAUUUAAAUAACAACAUUUAAUUUGAAUACUUCAUCUUCUCUUGUUAAUUUUAAUUUUCACGUUAGGUUUUGUGAUCUAGUAUAACUGUCUACAUUUACCAUAUCAUGGUGGCACCAUUUGGAUUCAAGCGAACAGCUGAGCAAAGUGGACUCAACUGCUUUCUUACAUUUAGAUGUAUGGAUUGUUAGAUGAGAAAAAUGUGAUCUGUACUUUAUGGUUGUUUGAAUGAGUUUCAAUCUGUCAUGAUAUUUGCAUAGAAGGGUUUUGUUAUGGAUCAAGCUGUUUUGUUAUGAUAUUUUUGGACUACAUGAAGUGGUUUUUCUUGUGUUCAAAAUUUGAUCUUGGUAGUAUUAUGGUCCAUGAGUGGUGUUUGCUGAUAGUUAGGUUGUAUACAUUUUCAUGUAUAGAAUUUGCUCUUUCUAG